Molecule: ribosomal RNA, 749 nt
Filed under: uncultured bacterium
Lineage: Bacteria
Also listed under: 1 other name
Description: bacterial SSU rRNA
Rfam family: Bacterial small subunit ribosomal RNA
Source: RNAcentral
ACUCCUACGGGUGGCAGCAGCUAAGAAUAGUCCGCAAUGGGGGAAACCCUGACGGUGCGACGCCGCGUGGGUGAUGAAGGCCUGACGGUUGUAAAGCCCUUUUCUCAGCGAAGAAUAAGGUGAGGAGUGGAACGCCUCAUCGAUGACGUUAGUUGAGGAAGAAGCCCCGGCCAAUUACGUGCCAGCAGCCGCGGUAACACGUAAGGGGCGAGCGUUGUUCGGAAUUAUUGGGCGUAAAGGGCGCGUAGGCGGUGCAGCAAGCUUGGUGUAAAAGGCUCGGGCUCAACCCGAGGAAUGCGCUGGGAACUGCUGCGCUAGAGUCUUGGAGGGGAAGCUGGAACUCCUGGUGGAGGGGUGAAAUCUGUAGAUAUCAGGAAGAACACCGGUAGCGAAGGCGAGCUUCUGGCCAAAGACUGACGCUGAGGCGCGAAAGCGUGGGUAGCGAACUGAAUUAGAUACUCAGGUAGUCCACGCCCUAAACGAUGGACACUAGGUGUGGGGGGCAUCGACCCCUCCUGUGCCGAAGCUAACGCAUUAAGUGUCCCGCCUGGGAAGUACGGCCGCAAGGCUAAAACCCAAAGGAAUUGACGGGGGCCCGCACAAGCAGCGGAGCGUGUGGUUUAAUUCGACGAUACGCGAAGAACCUUACCAGGCCUUGACAUUAGUCGGCCCGCGCCAGAGAUGGCGCUUUCCCGCAAGGGAUCUGCUAACAGAUGCUGCAUGGCUGUCGUCAGCUCGUGUCGUGAGAU